This is a long non-coding RNA of Numida meleagris (helmeted guineafowl), 555 nucleotides long. RefSeq lists it as uncharacterized. NCBI's taxonomy places the organism in Eukaryota, Metazoa, Chordata, Aves, Galliformes, Numididae. The record is from RefSeq and is a predicted model, not a curated record. The transcript is spliced from 2 exons.
GGCCGGAGCUGCUUCUAAAAUGCCUGCUGCUGCUGCUGCCGGGAGCUGUACGUGAGCCAGGGGCACGGCUGGGAAUUCGCCCACUGAACAGCACAGCGUAGGAACCGCACACCUGCAUGUAAACGGGCUCUAUGGCUGAGAAGUAUAGAAGUGGACAGGACUCCAGUGCACAUCAAGAUCAUUUCUGAAUCAGCUGUUGGAUGCAAUUUGAUUUGAGAGACACAAAGUACUGGCUCUUCUUCAGGAACUGAAUGCCUUGUCCCUUGUCAUGCUAAAGCCUCAGACUUGGCAUCAAUCAUUUCUGCAGUUAAAGCACACACCUGCAUCUAGAUGCACACUCUGACAAAAUCUCAUUAAAAUUGUGAUGGCUGUUUCACACGGACUCAGGACAUGCCUGGGAAAGAACACAGGGCGGUCAGCCAAAGGCACCACCUCACAGUCACGUUAACAGUGGCUUAAACAAAUCUCAGAAUCUUUCUGAAGAAAUCUGGGAUAAAAUAAAAACACUUUUCUUCUGUUUCCCAAUAAACACAUCUGUUUUACAUGUGAGAUACA